ACGGAAGGCAGCAGUGGGGAAUAUUGGGCAAUGGGCGCAAGCCUGACCCAGCAACGCCGCGUGAAGGAAGAAGGCCUUCGGGUUGUAAACUUCUUUUAUCAAGGACGAUAAUGACGGUACUUGAUGAAUAAGCCACGGCUAACUACGUGCCAGCAGCCGCGGUAAUACGUAGGUGGCAAGCGUUAUCCGGAUUUACUGGGUGUAAAGGGCGUGUAGGCGGGAUCGCAAGUCAGAUGUGAAAAUUAUGGGCUCAACCCAUAACCUGCAUUUGAAACUGUGAUUCUUGAGUGAUGGAGAGGUAAGUGGAAUUCCCAGUGUAGCGGUGAAAUGCGUAGAUAUUGGGAGGAACACCAGUGGCGAAGGCGACUUACUGGACAUUAACUGACGCUGAGGCGCGAAAGCGUGGGGAGCAAACAGGAUUAGAUACCCUGGUA
RNAcentral lists this ribosomal RNA (434 nucleotides) under uncultured Oscillospiraceae bacterium. RNAcentral's name for it is "bacterial SSU rRNA". It matches the Rfam family "Bacterial small subunit ribosomal RNA", at positions 341 to 792 of the family's 1533-position model. Lineage: Bacteria; Bacillati; Bacillota; Clostridia; Eubacteriales; Oscillospiraceae. The record is from RNAcentral.